UACGUAGGGGGCAAGCGUUGUCCGGAUUUAUUGGGCGUAAAGAGCGUGUAGGCGGCUUUACAGGUCCGUUGUGAAAACUCGAGGCUCAACCUCGAGACGCCGGUGGAAACCGUAAAGCUAGAGUCCGGAAGAGGAGAGUGGAAUUCCUGGUGUAGCGGUGAAAUGCGUAGAUAUCAGGAGGAACACCUGUGGUGUAGACAGCUUACUGGACCAUUUCUGACGCUGAGACACGAAAGCGUGGGUAGCAAACAGG
This 253-nucleotide ribosomal RNA is filed under the name uncultured bacterium. Its description in RNAcentral is "partial 16S ribosomal RNA". It matches the Rfam family "Bacterial small subunit ribosomal RNA", at positions 524 to 776 of the family's 1533-position model. The record is from RNAcentral.